GAUCAUGGCUCAGGAUGAACGCUAGCUACAGGCUUAACACAUGCAAGUCGAGGGGAAACGAUAUUGGAAGCUUGCUUUUGAUGGGCGUCGACCGGCGCACGGGUGAGUAACGCGUAUCCAACCUGCCCGUCACUUGGGAAUAACCUUGCGAAAGUAAGACUAAUGCCCAAUGAUAUCCCACGAAGGCAUCCGAAUGGGAUUAAAGAUUUAUCGGUGAUGGAUGGGGAUGCGUCUGAUUAG
RNAcentral lists this ribosomal RNA (240 nucleotides) under uncultured bacterium. Its description in RNAcentral is "partial 16S ribosomal RNA". It matches the Rfam family "Bacterial small subunit ribosomal RNA", at positions 15 to 244 of the family's 1533-position model. The record is from RNAcentral.